RNAcentral lists this ribosomal RNA (497 nucleotides) under uncultured bacterium. Its description in RNAcentral is "partial 16S ribosomal RNA". It matches the Rfam family "Bacterial small subunit ribosomal RNA", at positions 28 to 507 of the family's 1533-position model. The record is from RNAcentral.
GAUGAACGCUGGCGGCGUGCCUAAUACAUGCAAGUCGAGCGAACGGACGAGAAGCUUGCUUCUCUGAUGUUAGCGGCGGACGGGUGAGUAACACGUGGAUAACCUACCUAUAAGACUGGGAUAACUUCGGGAAACCGGAGCUAAUACCGGAUAAUAUUUUGAACCGCAUGGUUCAAAAGUGAAAGACGGUCUUUCUGUCACUUAUAGAUGGAUCCACGCUGCAUUAGCUAGUUGGUAAGGUAACGGCUUACCAAGGCAACGAUGCAUAGCCGACCUGAGAGGGUGAUAGGCCACACGGGAACUGAGACACGGACCAGAAUCCUACGGGAGGCAGCAGUAGGGAAUAUUCCGCAAUGGGCGAAAGCAUGACGGAGCAACGCCGCGUGAGUGAUGAAGGUCUUCGGAUCGUAAAACUCUGUUAUUAGGGAAGAACAUAUGUGUAAGUAACUGUGCACAUCUUGACGGUAACUAAUCAGAAAGCCACGGCUAACUACGUG